AUACGGAAGGUCCGGGCGUUAUCCGGAUUUAUUGGGUUUAAAGGGAGCGCAGGCGGAGAUGCAAGCGUGACGUCAAAUUUCGGGGCUCAACCCCGUCUCGCGUCGCGAACUGCGUCCCUUGGUUGCGGGAAGGGGAGGCGGAACUCGUGGUGUAGCGGUGAAAUGCAUAGAUAUCACGAAGAACUCCGAUCGCGAAGGCAGCCUUCCGGCCCGUCAACGACGCUCAUGCUCGAAGGUGCGGGUAUCAAACAGGAUUAGACACCCUGGUAGUCCGCACAGUAAACGAUGGACACCCGCGGUUUGGCCUGUAUGGCUGAGCCGCCAAGCGAAAGCGUUAAGUGUCCCACCUGGGGAGUACGCCGGCAACGGUGAAACUCAAAGGAAUUGACGGGG
This 393-nucleotide ribosomal RNA is filed under the name uncultured bacterium. Its description in RNAcentral is "partial 16S ribosomal RNA". It matches the Rfam family "Bacterial small subunit ribosomal RNA", at positions 523 to 918 of the family's 1533-position model. The record is from RNAcentral.